GAUGAACGCUGGCGGCGUGCCUAAUACAUGCAAGUCGAGCGAACAGAUGAGGAGCUUGCUCCUCUGACGUUAGCGGCGGACGGGUGAGUAACACGUGGAUAACCUACCUAUAAGACUGGGAUAACUUCGGGAAACCGGAGCUAAUACCGGAUAAUAUAUUGAACCGCAUGGUUCAAUAGUGAAAGACGGUUUUGCUGUCACUUAUAGAUGGAUCCGCGCCGCAUUAGCUAGUUGGUAAGGUAACGGCUUACCAAGGCAACGAUGCGUAGCCGACCUGAGAGGGGGAUCGGCCACACGGGAACUGAGACCCGGCCCAGACUCCCACGGGAGGCAGGAGUAGGGAAUUUUCCGAAAUGGGCGAAAGCCUGACGGAGCAACGCCGCGGGAGGAAUAAAGGUCUUCGGAUCGUAAAACUCUUUUAUUAGGGAAAAAAAAAUGUGUAAGUAACUAUGCACGUCUUGACGGUACCUAAUCAGAAAGCCACGGCUAAAUACGG
Molecule: ribosomal RNA, 496 nt
Filed under: uncultured bacterium
Lineage: Bacteria
Description: partial 16S ribosomal RNA
Rfam family: Bacterial small subunit ribosomal RNA
Source: RNAcentral